This 460-nucleotide ribosomal RNA is filed under the name uncultured bacterium. Its description in RNAcentral is "partial 16S ribosomal RNA". It matches the Rfam family "Bacterial small subunit ribosomal RNA", at positions 338 to 795 of the family's 1533-position model. The record is from RNAcentral.
CCUACGGGGAGCAGCAGUGAGGAAUAUUGGUCAAUGGACGAGAGUCUGAACCAGCCAAGUAGCGUGAAGGAUGACUGCCCUAUGGUUUGUAAACUUCUUUUAUAAAGGAAUAAAACGAGGCACGUGUGCCUUUUUGCAUGUACUUUAUGAAUAAGGAUCGGCUAACUCCGUGCCAGCAGCCGCGGUAAUACGGAGGAUCCGAGCUUUAUCCGGAUUUAUUGGGUUUAAAGGGAGCGUAGAUGGGUUGUUAAGUCAGUUGUGAAAGUUUGCGGCUCAACCGUAAAAUUGCAAUUGAUACUGGCAGUCGUGAGUACAGUUGAGGUAGGCGGAAUUCGUGGUGUAGCGGUGAAAUGCUUAGAUAUCACGAAGAACCCCGAUUGCGAAGGCAGCUUACUAAACUGUGACUGACAUUGAUGCUCGAAAGUGUGGGUAUCAAACAGGAUUAGAUACCCGUGUAGUC